RNAcentral lists this long non-coding RNA (685 nucleotides) under Mustela putorius furo (domestic ferret). RNAcentral describes it as "lncRNA (ENSMPUG00000031665.1)". Lineage: Eukaryota; Metazoa; Chordata; Mammalia; Carnivora; Mustelidae. The record is from RNAcentral.
GCAGAUGUCUGGAAAGAAGAAUACGAACGCCGCUUGGAACAGAUGUUAACCUGCAGAAAGUCUUGGGUAAACGGGUCGUCCAGGUGGAGGCGGGUCGAAUACAGAACACCUACAUUAUGGAGCGCGGGUGGUGGUGAGAGAGGAUCUGUUAAGAAACAGAGUUUGCACAUUCUUCAAGGCUAUGUUUAUCUUCCAAAGGAUUCUUCUGAUUCCUCCAGCUCCAGUUUUUCUCCUCCUAAACAUUUGAUGAGUUUGGAAGUUGAUGUUCUUUGUCUUUUGAAAAGCAUCCACCUGCUUUUCCUCUGGAGGAUGGAAAGACAACUGGCUCUUUUCCCAGACGACUCCAGCAAACCUCACCUGACAUCUCAGCCCAAUCACAGCCACGAGGAAGCUAACCAACAUGAUGGGAAUGGAAGAGCAGAAGAUAGAACUUGGGCUCUUGAUGACGUUGUCAUGGUGCUGAGUGGAAUAAUCCCAAAGACGUACUACCUCAGGACUCCUUGUUGUGACACAGCAAGGAGGCCGUUGUCAACAACCCGGAAGGGAGUUCUUGCCAGAGACUGAACUAAUCAGCAAUGAGAUAGAGACUUCCUCGCCUCUGGAACUGUGAGAAGAACAUUUCUGUGGUUCAAGCCACACCGUCUAUGGUGUUUUUAUUACAACAGUCCAAACUGGCCAAUAAAUA